AUUUUUUUCUCUCUCCUAUAAUGGUAGAAAUUAGUGGGAAAGAAUUGGGGAUUAGUACCAUGCUUAUAGCAUCCAAAUAUGAAAAAUUGGGCACCUUUUAUCCAAUAUCAGAUUGGUUUUACCGAUCUGCAAAUUCUUGUUUACUGAAAGUAUUUGGUGGAAUCAUUCUCAUGAUGUAUUUAUUGUUUGUUUUAUUGAAAUCUCUGUUUUAGAUGAGCAUGCAAG
This 225-nucleotide long non-coding RNA is filed under the name Panax ginseng (ginseng). RNAcentral's name for it is "long non-coding RNA (PGIN_LNC015798)". Lineage: Eukaryota; Viridiplantae; Streptophyta; Magnoliopsida; Apiales; Araliaceae. The record is from RNAcentral.